UACGGAGGAUCCGAGCGUUAUCCGGAUUUAUUGGGUUUAAAGGGUGCGCAGGCGGGAAAUUAAGUCGGCGGUGAAAUUUUGCGGCUCAACCGUAAAAGUGCCUUCGAUACUGGUUUUCUUGAGUGUAGCUGAAGUAGGCGGAAUUUGUGGUGUAGCGGUGAAAUGCUUAGAUAUCACGAGGAACUCCGAUUGCGCAGGCAGCUUACUAAAAUACAACUGACGCUUAGGCACGAAGGCGUGGGGAUCAAACAGGAUUAGAUACCCGGGUAGUCCCUGAGCGGG
This 282-nucleotide ribosomal RNA is filed under the name uncultured prokaryote. Its description in RNAcentral is "partial 16S ribosomal RNA". It matches the Rfam family "Bacterial small subunit ribosomal RNA", at positions 524 to 803 of the family's 1533-position model. The record is from RNAcentral.